GGAUGUGAUCAUACCAGCACUAAAGUACCGGAUCCCAUCAGAACUCCGAAGUUAAGCGUGCUUGGUCUAGAGUAGUACUAGGAUGGGUGACCUCCUGGGAAGUCCUCGUGUUCCAUUCC
This 119-nucleotide ribosomal RNA is filed under the name Aegilops tauschii subsp. strangulata. Lineage: Eukaryota; Viridiplantae; Streptophyta; Magnoliopsida; Poales; Poaceae. The record is from RNAcentral.